This 73-nucleotide transfer RNA is filed under the name Chlorokybus atmophyticus. RNAcentral's name for it is "tRNA-His". It matches the Rfam family "tRNA". Rfam says of the family: Transfer RNA (tRNA) molecules are approximately 80 nucleotides in length. Their secondary structure includes four short double-helical elements and three loops (D, anti-codon, and T loops). Further hydrogen bonds mediate the characteristic L-shaped molecular structure. tRNAs have two regions of fundamental functional importance: the anti-codon, which is responsible for specific mRNA codon recognition, and the 3' end, to which the tRNAs corresponding amino acid is attached (by aminoacyl-tRNA synthetases). tRNAs cope with the degeneracy of the genetic code in two manners: having more than one tRNA (with a specific anti-codon) for a particular amino acid; and 'wobble' base-pairing, i.e. permitting non-standard base-pairing at the 3rd anti-codon position. The record is from RNAcentral. Lineage: Eukaryota; Viridiplantae; Streptophyta; Chlorokybophyceae; Chlorokybales; Chlorokybaceae.
GCGGAUAUAACUUAAGUGGUUAAAGUGUCAGACUGUGAAUCUGAAAAUACGGGUUCAAGUCCCGUUAUUCGCC